AUUGAACGCUGGCGGCAGGCCUAACACAUGCAAGUCGAGCGGUAGAGAGAAGCUUGCUUCUCUUGAGAGCGGCGGACGGGUGAGUAAUGCCUAGGAAUCUGCCUGGUAGUGGGGGAUAACGUUCGGAAAACGGACGCUAAUACCGCAUACGUCCUACGGGAGAAAGCAGGGGACCUUCGGGCCUUGCGCUAUCAGAUGAGCCUAGGUCGGAUUAGCUAGUUGGUGGGGUAAUGGCUCACCAAGGCGACGAUCCGUAACUGGUCUGAGAGGAUGAUCAGUCACACUGGAACUGAGACACGGUCCAGACUCCUACGGGAGGCAGCAGUGGGGAAUAUUGGACAAUGGGCGAAAGCCUGAUCCAGCCAUGCCGCGUGUGUGAAGAAGGUCUUCGGAUUGUAAAGCACUUUAAGUUGGGAGGAAGGGUUGUAGAUUAAUACUCUGCAAUUUUGACGUUACCGACAGAAUAAGCACCGGCUAACUCUGUGCCAGCAGCCGCGGUAAUACAGAGGGUGCAAGCGUUAAUCGGAAUUACUGGGCGUAAAGCGCGCGUAGGUGGUUUGUUAAGUUGGAUGUGAAAUCCCCGGGCUCAACCUGGGAACUGCAUUCAAAACUGACUGACUAGAGUAUGGUAGAGGGUGGUGGAAUUUCCUGUGUAGCGGUGAAAUGCGUAGAUAUAGGAAGGAACACCAGUGGCGAAGGCGACCACCUGGACUAAUACUGACACUGAGGUGCGAAAGCGUGGGGAGCAAACAGG
Molecule: ribosomal RNA, 754 nt
Filed under: uncultured Pseudomonas sp.
Lineage: Bacteria; Pseudomonadati; Pseudomonadota; Gammaproteobacteria; Pseudomonadales; Pseudomonadaceae
Description: bacterial SSU rRNA
Rfam family: Bacterial small subunit ribosomal RNA
Source: RNAcentral